Molecule: ribosomal RNA, 465 nt
Filed under: uncultured bacterium
Lineage: Bacteria
Description: partial 16S ribosomal RNA
Rfam family: Bacterial small subunit ribosomal RNA
Source: RNAcentral
CCUACGGGUGGCAGCAGUAGGGAAUCUUCCACAAUGGACGAAAGUCUGAUGGAGCAACGCCGCGUGAGUGAAGAAGGGUUUCGGCUCGUAAAGCUCUGUUGGCAGUGAAGAAAAAUAGAGGUAGUAACUGGCCUUCAUUUGACGGUAAUUUCUUAGAAAGUGACGGCUAACUACGUGCCAGCAGCUGCGGUAAUACGUAGGUGACAAGCGUUGUCCGGAUUUAUUGGGCGUAAAGCGAGUGCAGGCGGUUGGAUAAGUCUGAUGUGAAAGCCUACGGCUCAACCGGGGAAUUGCAUCAGAAACUGUUGAACUUGAGUGCAGGAGAGGAGAGUGGAACUCCAUGUGUAGCGGUGGAAUGCGUAGAUAUAAGGAAGAACACCAGUGGCGAAGGCGGCUCUCUGGUCUGCAACUGACGCUGAGGCUCGAAAGCAUGGGUAGCGAACAGGAUUAGAUACCCUAGUAGUC